GAUGAACGCUAGCGAUAGGCCUAACACAUGCAAGUCGAGGGGCAGCAUGAUUGUAGCAAUACAAUUGAUGGCGACCGGCGCACGGGUGAGUAACACGUAUGCAACCUACCUACAACAGGGGACUAACCCGGAGAAAUUCGGGCUAAUACCGCAUAACACAGGGAUUCCGCAUGGAAAUAUUUGUUAAAGAUUUAUCGGUUGUAGAUGGGCUGGCGUUCCAUUAGCCGGUUGGUGAGGUAACGGCGCACCAAAGCAACGAUGGAUAGGGGAACUGAGAGGUUUAUCCCCCACACUGGAACUGAGACACGGACCAGACUCCUACGGGAGGCAGCAGUGAGGAAUAUUGGUCAAUGGGCGAGAGCCUGAACCAGCCAAAUCGCGUGAAGGACGACUGCCCUAUGGGUUGUAAACUUCUUUUAUAUGGGAAUAAAAAGGGGAACGUGUUCCCCAUUGCGAGUACCAUACGAAUAAGCAUCGGCUAACUCCGUGCCAGCCGCCGCGGUAA
RNAcentral lists this ribosomal RNA (505 nucleotides) under uncultured bacterium. RNAcentral describes it as "partial 16S ribosomal RNA". It matches the Rfam family "Bacterial small subunit ribosomal RNA", at positions 28 to 523 of the family's 1533-position model. The record is from RNAcentral.